Molecule: long non-coding RNA, 1152 nt
Filed under: Durio zibethinus
Lineage: Eukaryota; Viridiplantae; Streptophyta; Magnoliopsida; Malvales; Malvaceae
Description: long non-coding RNA (DZIB_LNC000936)
Source: RNAcentral
CUCCAAAUUUAAUUCAAUAAAUCAUGAUUCAUACAAUCACUUUUAUAAAAUAAUGUCAAUAAAUUUAAAUUUUAAAUAUUAAUACUUGAAAUUCUUUCAGUCAUCUCACAUUAUCACAUCCUUUAUAAAAAAAAAUUAAUAAUAAAGAUUGAGCCUUCAAUAAGGAUAUAUUAACCUCAAUAAAAUAAAAAUAUGAACUUGUGUAUGGUUGUUGAGAACUUGAACCAUUGUUAAGUAGGACAACUCAAUUUAUUUUUGGAAAAAACAAACGAAGAGCCAGAUGAUAUGAUUAAUAAUAUAUAAUUAUAUAUUCCUCGAAACCCUUAAAAGCAAUAGACUAAUAGAUUAAGAGAAUGAAGCCAAAAUGCAAAACGUGUAGGGAAUAUUUAAGUGAAAAAUUACAAAAGCUACAUAUCAAAAAAAUUGAGUCCUUAAUUUGGGAUAAGGUUGAAGCCUAAGCCAUCAAGUUUAGAUAAACAUCUUCAGAUACAUUUAAUUUCUCUCACAAAGUUCCUUCCUCUUUGGGUUUUCCCAAGUCUAAAGCUUCCUUCAAAAUAUCCCACCAUAUUUUACAAGUAUUAACUUUUGGUUGGGUUUAAAAAAAAAAAACAAUUUUUUAUAAAAAAAAAUUAUAAAUAUUAAAAUUAAAAUUUUUUAAUUUUUUAAAAAAUAAUUAUAUAAAUUAAUCAUGAGGUUGACAAAAAGUGAACUUAGAAACUGACAAACCAAAUUUCCUGCAAUAAUUGUGUUAAAUUUGGUAUGGGUCACAUUUCUUUUCCAAACCCAUAGAUUUUUUUAAUCUUAUUUUAUACGGCCAACAUUUAUGCUAUCGAUAUGCUAAAGUUGAUAUGAAAAAAUCAAGGGAAAUUUUUUUUUAAAAAUUAUAUAUUGGUUGGUUGAUGUGGGAUAUGUCGUCACUCUCAUAAAUGAUUGAAACAAGAAAGCUGAUUUAAAUAUAUUCGAUGGGGAUUUUUUUUUUUUUUUUUUUUAGAUUUUGAGGUAAAAAUUAUUUUGUGGAUCAAUUUCUGUUUUUGGUGGAAGAAUGAGAGCCUACCAAACAUGUUGUUCUAUGACAUUGUCCUUAUCUUUGGGUUUCUAUGGAUGAGGGAAAGUGGGGAAUAAGGAUCAGCCUCAAAUGAUCUAAUACUAAAA